RNAcentral lists this ribosomal RNA (486 nucleotides) under uncultured bacterium. RNAcentral's name for it is "partial 16S ribosomal RNA". It matches the Rfam family "Bacterial small subunit ribosomal RNA", at positions 29 to 507 of the family's 1533-position model. The record is from RNAcentral.
AUGAACGCUAGCGAUAGGCUUAACACAUGCAAGUCGAGGGGCAGCACAAGGUAGCUUGCUCUCUGGGUGGCGACCGGCGCCCGGUUGCUUAACGCGUAUGCAACUUGCCCUAUACAGGAGGAUAACCCGUCGAAAGACGGACUAAUACUGCGUAUGCUCAUAACUUGGCAUCAUGUGGUUAGGAAAGAAAUUCGGUAUAGGAUAGGCAUGCGUCCCAUUAGCUUGUUGGUGAGGUAACGGCUCACCAAGGCAACGAUGGGUAGGGGAACUGAGAGGUUUAUACACCACACUGGUACUGAGACACGGACCAGACUCCUAGGGGAGGCAGCAGAGAGGAAGAUAGGUCAAUGGGCGCGAGCCUGAACCAGCCAAGUCGCGUGAAGGAUGACUGUCUUAUGGAUUGUAAACUUCUGUUAUAAGGGAAUAACAAGAGUCACGUGUGACUACCUGAAUGUACCGUAUGAAUAAGCAUCGGCUAACUCCGUG